UGCUGAUAUGGGCAUACUCCCGUCCAAC
RNAcentral lists this non-coding RNA (28 nucleotides) under Mus musculus (house mouse). Lineage: Eukaryota; Metazoa; Chordata; Mammalia; Rodentia; Muridae. The record is from RNAcentral.